Molecule: ribosomal RNA, 43 nt
Filed under: Lactifluus piperatus
Lineage: Eukaryota; Fungi; Basidiomycota; Agaricomycetes; Russulales; Russulaceae
Also listed under: 14 other names
Description: Lactarius piperatus partial 28S ribosomal RNA
Source: RNAcentral
UUGACCUCAAAUCGGGUGAGACUACCCGCUGAACUUAAGCAUA